RNAcentral lists this ribosomal RNA (254 nucleotides) under uncultured bacterium. RNAcentral describes it as "partial 16S ribosomal RNA". It matches the Rfam family "Bacterial small subunit ribosomal RNA", at positions 524 to 776 of the family's 1533-position model. The record is from RNAcentral.
CACGUAGGGGCCAAGCGUUGUCCGGAUUUAUUGGGCGUAAAGAGCUCGUAGGCGGCUCGGUAAGUCGGGUGUGAAACCUCCAGGCUCAACCUGGAGACGCCACCCGAUACUGCUGUGGCUAGAGUCCGGUAGGGGAGCGUGGAAUUCCUGGUGUAGCGGUGAAAUGCGCAGAUAUCAGGAGGAACACCUGCGGUGUAGACGGCUUACUGGACCAUCACUGACGCUGAGGCACGAAAGCGUGGGUAGCAAACAGG